UAUGUCUCUCUCCUCAGAUCUUUCUCUCACUCUCCAACAAUCGAAAUCCAAAACCCUACCAACACCACACUCAAUCGAAAUUCUUCAUUCUCUUCUCAUCGAUGGGGCAGAAGUCUCUGAUCUACACGUUCGUGUCGCGGGGAACAGUGAUUCUCGCGGAGUACACCGAAUUCAGCGGAAACUUCAACUCCAACGCCUUCCAGUGCCUUCAGAAGCUCCCUGCCACCAACAACAAGUUCACCUACAAUUGCGCACACACCUUCAAUUACCUCGUCGACAAUGGCUACAGUUGGGAGUGUGAUAAAGAGUCCAGAAAUAUCUGGUCUUGUCCCUACUCUACUUAAGGAACUUUGUCAUCCUAAUGAGCAUACAAAAUAUUCCUUUAAUAUUCUUCUUCAAGUAAGGUUAAUGACAAUUAACUUGUUGAUUUUGUUUAGUUUUAUACUUAGUUACUCUUUGUUUUUGCACAUACACCUUCAUAAUGAGGGGUCCCGUAUCACUGACACAUGGAUUCAAUGAAGUCUCUUGCUUUCUCUUCUCAACCAAUAUAAUAUAAUCUGCUUCUAGAAAUUAAUACUGCACUUUAAACAAUUUUGUCAAUGCAUAAAACAAUUGAGAUCCCAUCCUGGAUACCAAACAGGUCAUAAUAUUACUAGGCUAGAAGAGUAUGGAAAAAUCCUAUUUCCUUUUAUCUAUUGCUUUUCUUUUCAGGCUUUUAAUAAUGUUUUCAGUUGUGGUAUCACUUGCUAAACAAUGGGCAUUUGAAGAACCUUAUGUGGAGACAAUAACUAGUGAAAAUGUUUUGACAUGGCCACAUGUGGUUGGGAAGUCACUAUUGAUAAAGUCUUUGGUUAAGCAUUACACGAAGCAUAAUUUGCCCGAUGUGAGAGGUCUAAUUACCAUCAUAUCAGGGAAGCAAAGGCAGGUGCAGUUUGCAGUUUGUGGAAUGUCCAAAUGAUAUCAAUGGCAUGAUAGAUGCCGCGAAGUUUGACGAUUUAACACUUCUUCUUAUCGAUGGAAGUUAUGGUUUCGAAAUGUUCCUAAGAGGUUCAGGCUUGCAAAGGACACAACAUUUGGACAAAGGCACUUGAAUAAGUGGAGUCAGUCAUCAAUUUCCUUAUGGAUGGUAAGGACAUAUUUAUUAGGAAAAAAAAUCUCUUAAUUAGCCUUUAGCUAAAUUCUGAAUUUUGAGAUUUUAGUUUGCAAGUGACACGUAAAUUAAUUUCAAAGUUCCUCAUGCUUUUGUACUCUGCUCGAAUCAGGUUAGCUUCUUCAACAAUUCUCUGGAUCUAUUAAAGAAAGUUAAAUAAUAAAAGUUUCCUUUUAAUUUGUUCACUGAUAUAUUAAGCGAAAGCCUGGUUAUUGAUUGUGAUGAAUAGAGUAGAAGGAGGAUAAUAUAAGUUCUUUUAUGAAUAUUGUUUGAAUUUGGAAGUUUUUCCCCCUUGAAUUGAAGCACCAUGUUACUCCCUAAAUUUUUAUGUCAAGAAAAAAAUUGGCCAAAUUAAACCUUGAGCAUACUGAAAUAUAAACUUGAUUUGGGGUUUUUAUCAAAAAGUUCAUGUUCUAAAAGAUUCUAAAAGACAUGUUAAGAUAAGAUUCUAAAAGAAUGUUCUAUAGAGAGAUCUAUUGUAGAAGAUAAUCCUAAAGUAACUUAUAAAAUAUUUUAGAAUGAGUAAGUAAGUUUGUAUUUAUAAGGAAAAUUUUAAAGAAUUAUUUGUAGCCAUUGGAUUAAGUGAUAGUUGGCAAAAUUCUAACCAUUUGUUUAGGAAAAAUUAUUACUAUAAAUAAGGAUGAUAUAUUAGAGUUUAUAUAAAGUCAAAAUCAAGCCAAAAAUCAAAAAGUGAUCAUUUGUAAAGUAAUCUCUUCCUUCAAAACUUUCUAAUCUCUUUCAUUCCAACAUAACGAUAUUUUGGACUGCCAAUCAGUCCUCUUUCAUAUGAUGAAAUGAGAAUAUUCCAAUUAAAGAAAAUAGUAUUAAAAAGAGAUAAAGUAAACCUUCAUAUUGUAGGGACCUCUUAACUCUAAGUCACAUGCAAACCCAAUUAAUAAGACCAAGCAUGAUACAUAAGUAUCACUUUUUAAACACUUAAUCAAAUACUCAUAAUUUUUUUAUUAUUAUUAUAUCACAUCAUAAUAUCUAUAAUAUAUUUUAUUCUCGUUUAUCUAUUACUAUGUGUAUAAUGACUCAUUGGAUGUUGGAUGCCCAUCCAUACUUUUCCAAUAAGACCCUCCUCCGAAAGCACAAACAUUCUUCUUCUUCUUCUUCUUCUGUUGGACAACAGAAAUGGAUAGUCAACCAUCCGGUUCUGCUGCAGAUGUUGUAGAUGUUAAUGAGUCUGGAAGUAGCAAGUUAGGUGGAUCCGAGCCUGAGGGUGCUGUUCUUUGCUUGCAGGAUCGAUUAAAGUGGCUCGAUCAGCAGGUCAUCAGAAAGGUUGUAUAAUUUCCGUCUGCAUGAUAAUUGAAGUAUUCAUGGGAAAAAAUUUGUUUAUACUUUUCUUCUUUCUAUUAUGAUUUCGUUUUUAAAUUCUUCCAUUCUACUAUCAUUUCUAUUAGCUAUGUAGAUGUCAAGAUUAAAUGGGCUUUGUAAUCACAUUCUUUUGCACUUUCAAGGCUUUCCACUCCUACAGGGACAAGUUUUAGUUACUCUUCUGAUGCUAGUGACAUUCGUCAAACAAAUCCUUAAUGGCCAUGAUGGAGAUAUGUGUAAGGUGUCUCUCUGGUGACCCAACUGAAAAGCCUUAUGUGGAACAUAUUCUCUGGAAUUUGCAGUUUGCAGCCCAAGUUCAGAAUUCAUGGAGAAGAGACUCAAGUGAUCACUGUUACUCACAUGCACCAUCUUCCAGGGAGACAUAAUUAAUAUUUGUAUGAAAUUUCCAGCAACUAAUAGGGCCAUCAGUCAUCUCCAAGUAGUCAAGACAGACCACCCUAUGAGAGGAUUGUUGGACCUUGUGGCCUCAAUAAUCUUAAGAGGGAUAUGCUUAGAAUGCAGAAGAAGCAACAACAAUCAAUUUAAUAAUGUUCUAUA
Glycine soja is the source of this 3025-nucleotide long non-coding RNA. RefSeq lists it as uncharacterized. The record is from RefSeq and is a predicted model, not a curated record. The transcript is spliced from 5 exons. NCBI's taxonomy places the organism in Eukaryota, Viridiplantae, Streptophyta, Magnoliopsida, Fabales, Fabaceae.